CAGCCAUCAUUUAAAGAAAGCGUAAUAGCUCACUGGUCGAGUCGGCCUGCGCGGAAGAUGUAACGGGGCUAAACCAUGCACCGAAGCUGCGGCAGCGACACUAUGUGUUGUUGGGUAGGGGAGCGUUCUGUAAGCCUGCGAAGGUGACCUGUGAGGGUUGCUGGAGGUAUCAGAAGUGCGAAUGCUGACAUAAGUAACGAUAAAGCGGGUGAAAAGCCCGCUCGCCGGAAGACCAAGGGUUCCUGUCCAACGUUAAUCGGGGCAGGGUGAGUCGACCCCUAAGGCGAGGCCGAAAGGCGUAGUC
RNAcentral lists this ribosomal RNA (304 nucleotides) under Klebsiella pneumoniae. Its description in RNAcentral is "partial 23S ribosomal RNA". It matches the Rfam family "Bacterial large subunit ribosomal RNA", at positions 1113 to 1416 of the family's 2925-position model. The record is from RNAcentral. Lineage: Bacteria; Pseudomonadati; Pseudomonadota; Gammaproteobacteria; Enterobacterales; Enterobacteriaceae.